UACGGGGGGGGCAAGCGUUGUUCGGAAUUACUGGGCGUAAAGGGCUCGUAGGUGGCCAACUAAGUCAGACGUGAAAUCCCUCGGCUUAACCGGGGAACUGCGUCUGAUACUGGAUGGCUGGAGUAUGGGAGAGGGAUGCGGAAUUCCAGGUGUAGCGGUGAAAUGCGUAGAUAUCUGGAGGAACACCGGUGGCGAAGGCGGCAUCCUGGACCAUUACUGACGCUGAGGCACGAAAGCGUGGGGAGCAAACAGG
Molecule: ribosomal RNA, 253 nt
Filed under: uncultured bacterium
Lineage: Bacteria
Description: partial 16S ribosomal RNA
Rfam family: Bacterial small subunit ribosomal RNA
Source: RNAcentral